CAAUAGCGUAUAUUAAAGUUGUUGCGGUUAAAAAGCUCGUAGUUGGAUUUCUGCCGAGGACGACCGGUCCGCCCUCUGGGUGUGUAUCUGGUUUGGCCUGGGCAUCUUCUUGGAGAACGUAGCUGCACUUGACUGUGUGGUGCGGUGUCCAGGACUUUUACUUUGAGGAAAUUAGAAUGUUUCAAGCAGGCAUACGCCUUGAAUACAUCAGCAUGGAAUAAUAAGAUAGGACCUCGGUUCUAUUUUGUUGGUUUCUAGAGCUGAGGUAAUGAUUAAUAGGGAUAGUUGGGGGCAUUCGUAUUUAACUGUCAGAAGUGAAAUUCUUGGAUUUGUUAAAGACGGACUACUGCGAAAGCAUUUGCCAAGGAUGUUUUCAUUGA
Molecule: ribosomal RNA, 380 nt
Filed under: uncultured eukaryote
Lineage: Eukaryota
Description: partial 18S ribosomal RNA
Rfam family: Eukaryotic small subunit ribosomal RNA
Source: RNAcentral